This 381-nucleotide RNase P RNA is filed under the name Saprospiraceae bacterium. RNAcentral's name for it is "RNase P RNA component class A". It matches the Rfam family "Bacterial RNase P class A". From Rfam's summary of the family: Ribonuclease P (RNase P) is a ubiquitous endoribonuclease, found in archaea, bacteria and eukarya as well as chloroplasts and mitochondria. The record is from RNAcentral. Lineage: Bacteria; Pseudomonadati; Bacteroidota; Saprospiria; Saprospirales; Saprospiraceae.
GCAGCUCAUCGGUCUAUCGCGGUUCCGAAUUAUUCGGAAAUGAGGAAAGUCUGGACAACGCAAAGCACCUCACCACCUAACGGGUGGGUUCCGAGAAGUCGGAAACAGAAAGGGUCACAGAAAAUAACCGUCUCAAACUUGUUUGAGAUAAGGGUGAAAACGGGUGGUAAGAGCACCCGAUUCUGGUAGGCAACUAUCAAAAUGGAUAAACCUUGAGGGUUGAAAUGCCAUGUACACCGCGACACGCUUUCGGGCGUACUGCGUCGCUUGCGCAGCGCGGGGGGUAGGCAGAUAGAGUUUGCUUUCGAGCAAACCUAGAUAAUGAUAGACACGCCGAAGCAAUUUGGCGAACAGAAUCCGGCUUACAGAUGAGCUUUUUUU